This 554-nucleotide ribosomal RNA is filed under the name Kocuria gwangalliensis. RNAcentral's name for it is "bacterial SSU rRNA". It matches the Rfam family "Bacterial small subunit ribosomal RNA", at positions 198 to 763 of the family's 1533-position model. Lineage: Bacteria; Bacillati; Actinomycetota; Actinomycetes; Micrococcales; Micrococcaceae. The record is from RNAcentral.
UGUGGAAAGGGUUUUACUGGUUUUGGAUGGGCUCACGGCCUAUCAGCUUGUCGGUGGGGUAAUGGCCUACCAAGGCGACGACGGGUAGCCGGCCUGAGAGGGUGACUGGCCACACUGGUACUGACACACGGCCCAGACUCCUACGGGAGGCACUCAGUGGGGAAUAUUGCACAAUGGGCGAAAGCCUGAUGCAGCGACGCCGCGUGAGGGAUGACGGCCUUCGGGUUGUAAACCUCUUUCAGCACGGAAUAAGCGAAAGUGACGGUACGUGCAUAAGAAGCGCCGGCUAACUACGUGCCAUCAGCCGCGGUAAUACGUAGGGCGCAAGCGUUGUCCGGAAUUAUUGGGCGUAAAGAGCUCGUAGGCGGUUUGUCGCGUCUGCUGUGAAAGCCCGGGGCUUAACCCCGUGGUGUGCAGUGGGUACGGGCAGACUAUAGUGCAGUAGGGGAGACUGGAAUUCCUGGUGUAUCGGUGAAAUGCGCAGAUAUCAGGAGGAACACCGAUGGCGAAGGCAGGUCUCUGGGCUGUUACUGACGCUGAGGAGCGAAAGCAUC